RNAcentral lists this ribosomal RNA (254 nucleotides) under uncultured bacterium. RNAcentral describes it as "partial 16S ribosomal RNA". It matches the Rfam family "Bacterial small subunit ribosomal RNA", at positions 524 to 776 of the family's 1533-position model. The record is from RNAcentral.
CACGUAGGCACCAAGCGUUGUCCGGAUUUACUGGGCGUAAAGAGCUCGUAGGCGGUUCAGUUAGUCGGGUGUGAAAACUCUGGGCUCAACCCAGAGACGCCACCCGAUACUGCUGUGACUAGAGUACGGUAGGGGAGGGGGGAAUUCCUGGUGUAGCGGUGAAAUGCGCAGAGAUCAGGAGGAACACCAGUGGCGAAGGCGGCACUCUGGGCCGUAACUGACGCUGAGGAGCGAAAGCGUGGGUAGCAAACAGG